RNAcentral lists this ribosomal RNA (468 nucleotides) under uncultured bacterium. RNAcentral's name for it is "partial 16S ribosomal RNA". It matches the Rfam family "Bacterial small subunit ribosomal RNA", at positions 28 to 507 of the family's 1533-position model. The record is from RNAcentral.
GACGAACGCUGGCGGCGUGCUUAACACAUGCAAGUCGAACGGAAAGGCCCUGCUUUUGUGGGGUGCUCGAGUGGCGAACGGGUGAGUAACACGUGAGUAACCUGCCCUUGACUUUGGGAUAACUUCAGGGAACUGGGGCUAAUACCGGAUAGGAGCUCCUGCUGCAUGGUGGGGGUUGGAAAGAUUCGGCGGUUGGGGAUGGACUCGCGGCUUAUCAGCUUGUUGGUGGGGUAGGGGCUUACCAAGGCUUUGACGGGUAGCCGGCCUGGGAGGGUGACCGGCGACAUGGGGACUGAGAUACGGCGCAGACGGCUACGGGAGGCAGCAGUGGAGAAUAUUGCAGAAUGGGGGGAAGUGUGAUGCAGCAGCGCCGCGUGCGGGAUGACGGCCUUCGGGGUGUAAACCGCUUUCGACUGUGACGAAGCGUGAGUGACGGUAAUGGGUAAAGAAGCACCGGCUAACUACGUG